UACGAAGGGUGCAAGCGUUAUCCGGAUUCAUUGGGUUUAAAGGGUGCGUAGGCGGGGCCAUAAGUCAGUGGUGAAAUCUUGCGGCUUAACCGUAAAAUUGCCAUUGAUACUGUGGUUCUUGAGUAUGCUCGACGUAGGCGGAAUGUGCCGUGUAGCGGUGAAAUGCUUAGAUAUGGCACAGAACACCGAUAGUGAAGACAGCUUACGAGGGCAAAACUGACGCUGAGGCACGAAAGCGUGGGGAUCGAACAGG
RNAcentral lists this ribosomal RNA (253 nucleotides) under uncultured bacterium. RNAcentral's name for it is "partial 16S ribosomal RNA". It matches the Rfam family "Bacterial small subunit ribosomal RNA", at positions 524 to 776 of the family's 1533-position model. The record is from RNAcentral.